Molecule: non-coding RNA, 351 nt
Organism: Nicotiana tabacum (common tobacco)
Lineage: Eukaryota; Viridiplantae; Streptophyta; Magnoliopsida; Solanales; Solanaceae
Source: RefSeq, a predicted model, not a curated record
UGAAAGCCCAAUACCCAUUUCCCUUCCCUUGAAUCCCUAAAACCUAGACACAAAAGAAAAAAGAUCAGAUCUCUCUUUCUCUUUGAAGACACCAACGGCGCUCCUCUCCUCAGAACGGACAACCUCCCUCCAUGAAAUCUCAUCUCUCACCCUCACUCACACAAAAACGUUAAGACUCAAGUUGUUGUUGCUGGUUUGCUGCUGAUUUAUUCAAGUUGUUGCUGAGCUCCAUCUGAAUUUGGCCUUCUCUUAGUGUUUUUCUUGCUUUGAAUAGUUCCGAAUAGCUUAAAUUAUUGCCAAUUUGCCGCCCUCUGCCGGCUGCCGCUACGAUCCUGUUCGUCAAUUUCUGCA